CCUACGGGAGGCAGCAGUGGGGAAUAUUGCACAAUGGGGGAAACCCUGAUGCAGCGACGCCGCGUGAGUGAAGAAGUAUUUCGGUAUGUAAAGCUCUAUCAGCAGGAACGAGACAAGACGGUACCUGACUAAGAAGCCCCGGCUAACUACGUGCCAGCAGCCGCGGUAAUACGUAGGGGGCAAGCGUUAUCCGGAAUCACUGGGUGUAAAGGGAGCGUAGACGGCUGUGCAAGCCUGAAGUGAAAGGCGGGGCCCAACCCCUGGACUGCUUUGGGAACUGUACGGCUGGAGUGCAGGAGAGGUAAGUGGAAUUCCUAGUGUAGCGGUGAAAUGCGUAGAUAUUAGGAGGAACACCAGUGGCGAAGGCGGCUUACUGGACUGUAACUGACGUUGAGGCUCGAAAGCGUGGGGAGCAAACAGGAUUAGAUACCCCAGUAGUC
RNAcentral lists this ribosomal RNA (440 nucleotides) under uncultured bacterium. RNAcentral describes it as "partial 16S ribosomal RNA". It matches the Rfam family "Bacterial small subunit ribosomal RNA", at positions 338 to 795 of the family's 1533-position model. The record is from RNAcentral.